AUCAGGCUGACGAAUCCCAAAUAGGACGAAACGCGCGUUAAACUGGAU
Molecule: non-coding RNA, 48 nt
Filed under: Schistosoma curassoni
Lineage: Eukaryota; Metazoa; Platyhelminthes; Trematoda; Strigeidida; Schistosomatidae
Source: RNAcentral